This is an RNA transcript of Dreissena polymorpha, 4622 nucleotides long. RefSeq lists it as uncharacterized. Lineage: Eukaryota; Metazoa; Mollusca; Bivalvia; Myida; Dreissenidae. The transcript has 10 exons. The record is from RefSeq and is a predicted model, not a curated record.
AUAUAUACACGAUUGUGUCUGAUAAAGAAGUCAGAGUUAUUGCCUGUUUUUUUGUGCUUGGGGAUUUCCCUAAUCAUCAAACAUUGACGUUUUAUUAAAAUUAUAUAUUAAUAUUGGUUUCAUUUUUUUUAAAGUUCAUAUGUGUGGCUUUUAAUUCUUGAAACCCGGAGCUCGGGCUAUAAGUUAAAGAAGGACGGACGAAUACUAAUUAUAGUUUAUAGAAAAAACAUUACUAAAAUAUUAACAUUGGAGGAUUUGAUCAUAAUGUGAAUGAUUUAAUUGCAUAUUCCUCAUAUACAAGUUGGCUUGAAUGUGUCUCUUGUUCUUUGUAUCACAGAAAAUACACAUCAGAAUGGCUUUGGCAUCGGAUGUAUGUGGGUUUUGCUUUAAAGAACCCGUAUUUGGAUUCUGUGAAAACUGUAAUAUUUCGCUUGGUGUAAGUUGCUUCUCAAAUCAUACUAAGAUACAUUUAUUUACUAGUCAUAUUGUGUUUCCGUUGGAUAACUCAGAGAACGAGACAUGCUUAUCGGUACCCAUAGAAAAAGACAUACAUGAACAAAAAUGCCAACAGCACGAAACAGACCCUCAGUCGUUUUAUUGUGGAAGGCAUGACGCAACCAUAUGUGGUCGAUGUAUACUGGCUGACCACAUGACUUGUAAAGAUGAAAUCGUUGAUCUACAUAUAACAAAGUUUGAUGAACAAAAGGCGAAUGCACUUCUGGGCUCUUUGAAUGAAAUCGAAGGCGAAAUAAAAGACCUUCAGGUCCGUGUAGACAGAAAUGUUAAACAAAAUGACGAGUGUAGAGCCUCAUCUAUUGACGCAAUUAAAGAUUUUCGAAAGAAGAUUGAUUUAAGGCUUAACCAGUUACAUUUCGAAGCAGAACAAUCCACAGAGAGGAAACACAAAGAAAAUAUGAACAGUCUGGUUGAACUUGCAAAAAUCUGCAAAGACGUUUCUCUUCGAAUUCAAAUGCGUGGAGAAAAAAUCGAGGAGUUAUCGAAGAAAAAACAAGAACGGCAUUUGUUUGUAUAUUCAAAAAAACUGGCCAUUGAAAUUGAUGAAAUAAGAACAGCUAUUAAGCAGUCAAACUUCAAAAACCAUAUUACAAAAUUCACAUUUAAAGAACACCCAACAUUGGAAAAUAUUCUUCAGAAAACAAUUCUUGAAAUUGGAACACUUCAAGAGGCUUGUGAUGGAAGCGAAGAAUUAGUUGACGAUACACAUGCUUCAUUAACGGGGACUCCUGAACAUGCAGAUGAAAGCUGUGCGCGGAAAAUAACACAACCGAAGAAUUUUACGUCCGGUAAUCAACCUCCUGGAAAGAUGACGGUUGAAUCAUACCCCGAGAUUGUUCAUAUUAAGUACAAGUUUUUAACUGGACAACAAUCGGGGACUCCUGAACAUGCAGAUGAAAGCUGUGCGCGGAAAAUAACACAACCGAAGAAUUUUACGUCCGGUAAUCAACCUCCUGGAAAGAUGACGGUUGAAUCAUACCCCGAGAUUGUUCAUAUUAAGUACAAGUUUUUAACUGGACAACAAUCGGGGACUCCUGAACAUGCAGAUGAAAGCUGUGCGCGGAAAAUAACACAACCGAAGAAUUUUACGUCCGGUAAUCAACCUCCUGGAAAGAUGACGGUUGAAUCAUACCCCGAGAUUGUUCAUAUUAAGUACAAGUUUUUAACUGGACAACAAUCGGAUGGCAAAAUGUAUAAGGCUUUAACUGAGAACGUGCAUCUCCCUUACUCGGUCAACGGAAUAAACGUUUGCAGAAUGCUUAAACUAGCCUUUCAAAGGAAAUUGAUGUUUACCAUUAACAGUGAUGGCGCCAUUGUAUAUAACGGCAUAAAGCUUCGGAGCACAGACUACGAAAUGACAGAGUAUUAUUAACUGUAUUGUGCAUGCAGCGAUAUAAGUAUGUGUAGCACAGGUACAUAUAACGAGAACAAAUAUGAAGAAUCGAUUGUACCAGACUAACCACACAGUUGAAAGCUAAGGGCAUCACGAUGGCUGACAUUGACACCAACGAUGAAUUCUGGGGAACAGUGACGGUGGACUAAUUAGAUAUAACAACGUGUUAAAUUUGUUGAAAAAGCCUGAACAAUAUUUCAAAAAGCAACCACAUAUAUACUUUUAUCAGAUAAAAGAACAAUUAAACAAUGGGUAAAUAUUGAACUUAACCUUUCUAGGGAACAUACAAAGUAAUCAUUUAAAAGAAAGUGGGAAACCUUCGCUGAAAUUGACUUGUAAUGACUUAUUAUAGAGAAGUAUGAGAUGAGACUAAGCAUGAAUGCUUGUCGUAGCUUUGGAUGAGUUUUUGUUGAGUGUAUGGGCUUGAGCGCGUGCUUUAGUACGUCGAAGAUUGUCCGUAAUUCAAUUUCGCCAUUAACCAUGCGAUUUUUAAACAACUUCAAGUGUUAUCAUGAGAUGUUUUAUCGCGUGUAAAACUCUACCUGAAUAAUAAUGGUCACUCUUACAGGUCGAAGGUUAAUUUUGUACCAAAGUCAAUGACAAUUUGGCAUGUGCUGUGUCUUGCGCGUAUCAUUUAUUAACUUUCCUCCAAAGUCAAUGUCACUCAGAGAGUUUACAUGUUGAAUUCGGGCAUAGUUUAGCUUUUCCAGACUGAAAAUUCGUCAUUCAAUAUAUAAGCUCACAUCACAAUGUAGUGUUAAGGGGAUCUGUUGGGAUAUGAAUAUGUGUGACAAAGGUCCAAAGUCGUGCCUAUCUUAAGAAUCGUCCACAGAAUCGUCUUUUAAGCUUGAAAGUUUGAGCGCCAUCGAUAGAGAAGUAAACGAAAAGUUGAAAGCACAAGCUUCGGGACGCCGAAAUAGAUAAAUGACCAUACUCCUCCAAAACUCCUCACAUCCAACAUUUCUUUCUUUACGAGCAUCUACACGUAAUGGUUAUUCAACGAUGAACAUUUUAGAUAUUUCCACCAGGCAGUUAAAGGGCAGUUGAAACCCGUGCUUCAGGACGCAAAGACGUAUGAACGGUCGAACGUACGGAAAUACGUGCGAACGGACGGACAAGUGCAAAACCAAUGCCUCGCGCACAGUGGGACAGAAAUAAAUAACUCAAAAACAUCAAUUGUGCAAUAGUGCUUUAAAUAUGACCGUGUUUCAUAAACAUACAUUCACGCUUUUAGUUAUGCCCCUGGAUCGAAUGAUCGGGGGUAUAUUAUUUUUGGCCUGUAUGUCUGUCAGUCUGUCUGUCUGUCAUUUAUUCUGUCCCAAAACUUUUUCUUUUGUCAAAUCUUUUGCAAAAUUGAAGAUAGAAACUUUGGCAUGCAUGUGUAUCUCAUGAAGCUGAAAAUUUUGAGUAGUAAAAGGUAAAGGUCAAGGUCAUCAUUCAAGGUCAAAGGUCAACCUUUAAGGUCAAAGGUCAAAUAUUUGGAUUCAAGUAUGGGUGAUUGUGUUUCACAAAUACAGCUCUUAUUUUAUUUUAAAACAAUAAAUAAACAUGUUAAAAAAAUGACAAAUAUGUUAAAGAAAAAGAGAAAAUGACAUACAGGCACACACAAGAUGACACCAAGACUGAACAAAUUUUAACCAUAGAACAGAACAUAUGUGACCAUGACUAUAUGGGUCGUAAAAUGCCGUCCAAGAUUAGUCUGUGAGUCCGCACAGGCUAAUCAGGCACGACGUUUUCCGCUUUUAUGAUAUUUUUCGUAAGGAGAGAGUAUAUUCGUAGCAAACAAAUCCAGUUUAGACUGAAAGUGUCGUCCCUGAUAAGCUUGUGCGGACUGCACAGGCUAAUAUAUGAUGACACUUAACGCGCAUGCAUUAAACCCCCUAUUCACAGAGCACGGUCCAUAUGAAGUAACAAAAACCUGUACAAAAGGUGGUUUAUGUAUUAUUAUUGCAUAAACUCUAUCUAUAAUGCCCUCUGGCGAGGUGCAGAAACUUGGCAAAAGGAGGGCAUGAACGGGAGAAAUCGUGUAUUAACAAUGCGAUUCACGUGCCGUUCAAGCCCUGUAAUGUGUUUUUCAUAUCCAUAAUCUGGUCCACGCGCAGUUACUUCCCUUCUCCAGCCUUCGGCGACUUUCCAAACAUGAAUGGGGAACUGAAUAAGCACCAGGUUCCUCAUGCAUGCAGGGAUAAUGACUUUUGCAAUCCACUUUUCAAGUUAUACCAUCUGCACUCUCUUGACAACAGCUUUAUUUUAUUUGCACCGUCAAUGAAGUUAAGGUUAUUUACUCAACACUUUCAAAAGACUAUGCUGUAAAUGUAAGUGUUAAUGUACCUUCAACGUUUCUGCUGUAUAUUCAAAAAUAAUUCCUCAUUUCUUACUUUGCGCGGCUGCAUUUCAACUUUGCAUUAUUCCACUGUUUAAACACAUUUUAAAUCGAAAACUGCCUAUCCGAAGGUAAAGCCUCGUCAUUUCGGAUGAUGACCGAGUGAGGCAUAUGUAAAACACAACCUUGAACUGUAUUGAAAUAAUCGAAUUUUGUCGAUGUCAAAUGAACAAAACAUAUUGUUUUCAAUGUUAUUUAAAAUUAUUUUUAUGCAACACCAUGUAUUAUGAAUAUAUGAAUGAUAUGAUAUAUGUUGAUCAAGGACCAUAACGGCCUAUUUCAACUGUGUAAAUAGGUAUAUGUAUUUGUCGCAAUAAAAGUUCUUCUUCA